AUGAGACUGCUGGCGCCAGCGCCUGCCAGCGCUGCACCGGCCUGGGGAGCUCGCUUCCCGCUGACUCAGCGGCGACCGCAGCGGUAUGUGUAUAAGAGACAGGACGAGGGGCGCGCAGUCCCGGCCAGCUCCGUCUCUGGCGUUGGCGCUGCGGCCGUGGCGAGGACUGCGGUGACAAGGACGAGGGCCGCUGUCCCUGCUCUCUGCGUGCCGCUCCGCUGGCUGACCAUCUGGAGUGCAGGCUGGGAGGCCAGAUGGAGUGAUAAGGAAGAUGUUUACGAAUUCCCCGGUGGGAUCAGAGGGCACGCCUAUUAUAACCAGAAGACUCCAAGUAUAGCAGCAAGGACGGAUGAACAGGCUCUAUUAGGGCUAAAUCCAAAUGCUGAUUCAGACUUUAGAUAAAAGGCCCUGGCCUAUUUUGAGAAGUUAAACACAUCUAGAUGUGUAUAAGAGACAGGCUGAAGCUCUAGCCCAGAGGACGUAUAGUGAUGAUCAUGUAAAGUUUUUCUGCUUUCAAGUACUGGAACAUCAAGUUAAAUAGAAAUAUUCAGAACUAAGCACUGUUCAACAGCAACUAAUUAGGGAGACGCUGGUAUCACGGCUGCAAGCUCAGAAGCUGAAUCCCCAACCAGAGAAGCCUUCAUACGAAAUAAAGCCGCCCAAGUCUUCGCCUUGCUUUUUGUUAACAGAAUAUCUCACUAAGUGGCCCAAGUUUUUUUUUUUUACAUUCUCUCAGUAGUGGAUCUAAAUCCAAGGGGAGUAGAUCUGUACCUGCGAAUCCUCAUGGCUAUUGAUUCAGAGUUGUUGGAUCGUGAUGUGGUGCAUGCAUACAUCAGAGGAGGCUCGUAGGAAUACUCUCAUAAAAGAUACUAUGAGGGAACAGUGCAUUCCAAAUCUGGUGGAAUCAUGGUACCAAAUAUUACAAAAUUAUCAGUGUACUAAUUCUGAAGUGACCUAUCAGUGCCUUGAAGUAGUGGGGGCUUAUGUCUCUUGGAUAGACUCAUCCCUUACAGCCAAUGAUAGGUUUAUAAAUAUGCGGCUAGGUCAGAUGUCAAUAGAAGUUCUAUGGGAAGAAGCAUGUGACUGUUUAUUUGAAGUUGUAAAUAAAGGAAUGGACCCUACUGAUAAAAUGAAACUAGUAGAAUCUUUGUAUCAAGUAUUACAGUCCGCUGGGUUUUUCAGCAUUGACCAGGAAGAUGUUGACUUCCUGGCCAGAUUUUCUAAGCUGGUAAAUGAAAUGGGACAGUCAUUGAUAGUUAGUUGGAGUAAAUUAGUUAAGAAUGGGGAUAUUAAGAAUACUCAAGAGGCACUACAAGCUAUUGAAACAAAAGUGGCACUGAUGUUGCAGCUACUAAUUCAUGAGGAUGAUGAUAUUUCUUCUAAUAUUAUUGGAUUUUGUUAUGAUUAUCUUCAUAUUUUGAAACAGCUUACAGUGCUCUCGGAUCAGCAAAAAGCUAAUGUAGAGGCAAUCAUGUUGGCCGUUAUGAAAAAAGUUGACUUACGGUGAAGAAUAUAACUUCGAAAAUGAGGGUGAAGAUGAAGCCAUGUUUGUAGAAUAUAGAAAACAACUGAAGUUACUGUUGGACAGGCUUGCUCAAGUUUCACCAGUUACUGCUGGCCUCUGUUCACAGAGUUUUUAGUUCUACACUGCAGAAUUGGCAGACUACACGGUUUAUGGAAGUUGAAGUAGCAAUAAGAUUGCUGUAUAUGUUGGCAGAAGCUCUUCCAGUAUCUCAUGGUGCUCACUUCUCAGGUGAUGUUUCAAAAGCUAGUGGUUUGCAGGAUAUGAUGUGAACUCUGGUAACAUCAGGAAUCAGUUCCUAUCAGCAUACAUCUGUGACUUUGGAGUUCUUCGAAACUGUUAGAUAUGAAAGUUUUUCACAGUUGAACCUCAGCACAUUCCAUGUGUACUAAUGGCUUUCUUAGAUCACAGAGGUCUGCGGCAUUCCAGUGCAAAAGUUCGGAGCAGGACGGCUUACCUGUUUUCUAGAUUUGUCAGAUCUCUCAAUAAGCAAAUGAAUCCUUUCAUUGAGGAUAUUUUGAAUAGAAUACAAGAUUUAUUAGAGCUUUCUCUGCCUGAGAAUGCCUCUCUAGCAGACUGUCUCAACCAUGCUGUUGGAUUUGCAAGUCGAACCAGUAAAGCUUUCAGCAACAAGCAGACUGUGAAACAAUGUGGCCAUUCCGAAGUUUAUCUGAACUGUUUACAGACAUUCUUGCCGGCCCUCAGUUGUCCCUUACACAAGGGUAUUCUCAGAAGUGGAGUACGUACUUUCCUUCAUCGAAUGAUUAUUUGCCCGGAGGAAGAAGUUCUUCCUUUCAUCCCAUCUGCUUCAGAACAUAUGCUCAAAGAUUGUGAAGCAAAAGACCUCCAGGAGUUCAUUCCUCUUAUCAACCAGAUUACGGACAAAUUCAAGAUACAGGUAUCCCCGUUUUUACGACAGAUGUUCAUGCCUCUGCUUCAUGCACUUUUUGAAGUGUUGCUCCGGCCAGCGGAAGAAAAUGACCAGUCUGCUGCUUUAGAGAAGCAGAUGUUGCGGAGGAGUUACUUUGCUUUCCUGCGAACAGUCCCCAGGCAGUGGGAUGCGCGAAGUUAUAGCAAAUCAAGGUGCAGAGAAUGUAGAAAAGUGCUGGUUACUGUUAUCCAAGGAGCAGUUGAAUAUCCAGAUCCAACUGCACAGAAAACAUGUUUUAUCAUCCUCUCAAAGUUGGGAGAACUCUGGGGAGGUAAAGCUGGACCAGUGGGAUUUACUGAUUUUGUUUAUAAGCACAUUGUCCCUGCAUGUGUCCUAGCACCUUUAAAACAAACCUUUGACCUGGCAGAUGCACAAACAGUAUUGUCUUUAUCUGAGUGUGCAGUGACACUGAAAACAAUUCAUCUCAAAUGAGGCCCAGAAUGUGUUCAGUAUCUUCAACAAGAAUACCUGCCUUCCUUGCAAGUGGUUCCAGAAAUAAUUCAGGAGUUUUGUCAAGCACUUCAGCAGUCUGAUGCUAAAGUUUUUAAAAAUUACUUAAGGCCGGGCAUG
Mandrillus leucophaeus (drill) is the source of this 3023-nucleotide RNA transcript. It is a transcript of the gene named exportin-T-like, with no coding region annotated. The record is from RefSeq and is a predicted model, not a curated record. NCBI's taxonomy places the organism in Eukaryota, Metazoa, Chordata, Mammalia, Primates, Cercopithecidae. The transcript is spliced from 3 exons.